ACGAACGCUGGCGGCGUGCCUAAUACAUGCAAGUCGAACGAGAGCGACCGGUGCUUGCACUGGUCAAUCUAGUGGCGAACGGGUGAGUAACACGUGGGUAACCUGCCCAUCAGAGGGGGAUAACAUCCGGAAACGGAUGCUAAAACCGCAUAGGUCUUCGAGCCGCAUGGCUUGAAGAGGAAAAGAGGCGCAAGCUUCUGCUGAUGGAUGGACCCGCGGUGCAUUAGCUAGUUGGUGAGGUAACGGCUCACCAAGGCCGUGAUGCAUAGCCGACCUGAGAGGGUGAUCGGCCACAUUGGAACUGAGACACGGCCCAAACUCCUCCGGGAGGCAGCAGUAGGGAAUCUUUCGCAAUGGACGAAAGUCUGACGGAGCAACGCCGCGUGAGUGAAGAAGGUUUUCGGAUCGUACAACUCUGUUGUUAGAGAAGAACAAGUGCUAGAGUAACUGUUAGCGCCUUGACGGUAGCUAACCAGAAAGCCACGGCUAACUACGUG
This 497-nucleotide ribosomal RNA is filed under the name uncultured bacterium. RNAcentral describes it as "partial 16S ribosomal RNA". It matches the Rfam family "Bacterial small subunit ribosomal RNA", at positions 29 to 507 of the family's 1533-position model. The record is from RNAcentral.